Ictalurus furcatus (blue catfish) is the source of this 621-nucleotide long non-coding RNA. RefSeq lists it as uncharacterized. The transcript has 2 exons. Lineage: Eukaryota; Metazoa; Chordata; Actinopteri; Siluriformes; Ictaluridae. The record is from RefSeq and is a predicted model, not a curated record.
GAGUGAGUGAGUGAGUGAGUGAGUGCGUGUGUGCGUGCGUGCGUGCGUGCGUGCGUGUGCACUGCAGUGUGAUGGAGGUUUUUGUACGAUGGUUUCAUUAGAAUAUAUCACUGUGGGGGACUUUUGGUGGAGGCUCCAAACUCGUGGUGAACACGGGUCCCACAGCUCCCUCCGUGUCUCUGCUCCCUCCGUCCCCUCUGCAGCUGUCUGAGGGAUCGGCCUCGCUGCUCUGUCUGCUGUCUGGCUACUCUCCACAGGGGGCGCUGGUGAGCUGGACAGUGGACGGAUCACAGGUGAAGAACGAGGUUCUGACCAGCGCAGAAGAAGAGAAGAACGGCCGUUACAGCCGCAGCAGCACCCUGACCCUCAGCAAAGACCUCUGGGAAAAGGGGGAGGAGUUCAGCUGUAGGGUCUCCCAUAACAACGUCGAUCAUCCGGUCACGUUCAGAAAGAGUCAGUGUGAAGGCUAGUGGAUCCAAGAUAGAGUUUAACAUAGAGCUGCUUAUGAUCCAUCUACAAUAGAGUUUCAGUUCUACACAAUGCUGACAUUUCUGUCUUUACUGUCUUCACUGUCCUGUUGCUCUUCCUGUAGUUUUUGCUGAAAUAAAGCUGAGUUUUGGA